AACCUUAUGGACCUGCGGGCGUAUACCUGCGGAAGGAUCAUUAUUGAAUUUUAAUGAAGAGUCUGGUUGUAGCUGGUCCAUUUAAUUGGGCAUGUGCACACCUUUCUCUUUCAUCCAUACACACCUGUGAACCUGUGAGACAGAUGGGAAAUUUUUGCUUAUUUAUUUUUUGAAAUACAAAGAUAACUGAGUGAUUUGGACCCCUCUGUCUACUCAAUUCAAUAUAAACUCAAUUUAUUU
Molecule: unclassified non-coding RNA, 240 nt
Filed under: soil metagenome
Description: partial contains 5.8S ribosomal RNA, internal transcribed spacer 2, and large subunit ribosomal RNA
Source: RNAcentral